GCCAGUGUGGCUCAGUGGCUAGAGCAUCGGCCUGGGGACUGAAGGGUCCCAGGUUCGAUUCCGGUCAAGGGCA
This 73-nucleotide transfer RNA is filed under the name Myotis brandtii (Brandt's bat). It matches the Rfam family "tRNA". Rfam says of the family: Transfer RNA (tRNA) molecules are approximately 80 nucleotides in length. Their secondary structure includes four short double-helical elements and three loops (D, anti-codon, and T loops). Further hydrogen bonds mediate the characteristic L-shaped molecular structure. tRNAs have two regions of fundamental functional importance: the anti-codon, which is responsible for specific mRNA codon recognition, and the 3' end, to which the tRNAs corresponding amino acid is attached (by aminoacyl-tRNA synthetases). tRNAs cope with the degeneracy of the genetic code in two manners: having more than one tRNA (with a specific anti-codon) for a particular amino acid; and 'wobble' base-pairing, i.e. permitting non-standard base-pairing at the 3rd anti-codon position. The record is from Rfam by way of RNAcentral. Lineage: Eukaryota; Metazoa; Chordata; Mammalia; Chiroptera; Vespertilionidae.